RNAcentral lists this ribosomal RNA (292 nucleotides) under uncultured Bacteroidota bacterium. RNAcentral's name for it is "uncultured Bacteroidetes bacterium partial 16S ribosomal RNA". The record is from RNAcentral. Lineage: Bacteria; Pseudomonadati; Bacteroidota.
GGACUACUAGGGUUUCUAAUCCUGUUUGAUCCCCACGCUUUCGUGCCUCAGUGUCAGUAGUAGUUUUGUAAGCUGCCUUCGCAAUGGGUGUUCUGUGUCAUAUCUAAGCAUUUCACCGCUACACGACACAUUCCACUUACAUCAAAUACACUCAAGAAUGACAGUAUCAAUGGCAGUUCUAUAGUUAAGCUAUAGGUUUUCACCACUGACUUGACAUUCCACCUACGCACCCUUUAAACCCAGUAAAUCCGGAUAACGCUCGGAUCCUCCGUAUUACCGCGGCGGCUGGCAC